This 456-nucleotide ribosomal RNA is filed under the name uncultured Sphingobacteriales bacterium. Its description in RNAcentral is "bacterial SSU rRNA". It matches the Rfam family "Bacterial small subunit ribosomal RNA", at positions 927 to 1382 of the family's 1533-position model. Lineage: Bacteria; Pseudomonadati; Bacteroidota; Sphingobacteriia; Sphingobacteriales. The record is from RNAcentral.
AAGCGGAGGAACAUGUGGUUUAAUUCGUAUGAUACGCAGGAACCUUACCUGGGCUUAAAUGCAGAGUGCAUGGAGUGGAAAACACUUCUUCCCUUCGGGGCUCUUUGCAAGGUGCUGCAUGGUUGUCGUCAGCUCGUGCCGUGAGGUGUCGGGUUAAGUCCCAUAACGAGCGCAACCCUUAUCGUUAGUUGCCAGCGGGUAAAGCCGGGAACUCUAGCGAAACUGCCGGUGUAAACCGAGAGGAAGGUGGGGAUGACGUCAAAUCAGCACGGCCCUUAUGUCCAGGGCUACACACGUGUUACAAUGGCCGGUACAGAGGGCAGCUACCUGGAGACAGGAUGCGAAUCUCGAAAGCCGGUCUCAGUUCGGAUCGGAGUCUGCAACUCGACUCCGUGAAGCUGGAUUCGCUAGUAAUCGCGCAUCAGCCAUGGCGCGGUGAAUACGUUCCCGGGCCUU